RNAcentral lists this ribosomal RNA (437 nucleotides) under uncultured Clostridium sp. RNAcentral describes it as "partial 16S ribosomal RNA". It matches the Rfam family "Bacterial small subunit ribosomal RNA", at positions 341 to 792 of the family's 1533-position model. Lineage: Bacteria; Bacillati; Bacillota; Clostridia; Eubacteriales; Clostridiaceae. The record is from RNAcentral.
ACGGAAGGCAGCAGUGGGGAAUAUUGGGCAAUGGGGGAAACCCUGACCUAGCAACGCCGCGUGAAGGAGGAAGGCUCUCGGGUUGUAGACUUCUUUUAUCAGGGACGAAGGAAGUGACGGUACCUGAUGAAUAAGCCACGGCUAACUACGUGCCAGCAGCCGCGGUAAUACGUAGGUGGCAAGCGUUAUCCGGAUUUACUGGGUGUAAAGGGCGCGUAGGCGGGGAUGCAAGUCAGAUGUGAAAUCUAUGGGCUUAACCCAUAAACUGCAUUUGAAACUGUAUCUCUUGAGUGUCGGAGAGGUAGAUGGAAUUCCUAGUGUAGCGGUGAAAUGCGUAGAUAUUAGGAGGAACACCAGUGGCGAAGGCGAUCUACUGGACGAUAACUGACGCUGAGGCGCGAAAGCGUGGGGAGCAAACAGGAUUAGAUACCCUGGUA